This 115-nucleotide ribosomal RNA is filed under the name uncultured eukaryote. Its description in RNAcentral is "partial small subunit ribosomal RNA". It matches the Rfam family "Eukaryotic small subunit ribosomal RNA", at positions 1676 to 1794 of the family's 1831-position model. The record is from RNAcentral.
UCGCUACAACCGAUUGAGCGACUAAGUGAGGGUUUUGGAAUCUCGACGUUGACGCUUUGUCUCGUUGGGGUGAAGACUCCCAAACUUCGCCGCUUAGAGGAUGUAAAAGUCGUAA